GUGAAAGCUGCUCCUGGUCCUUGAUCCUGUCCUGGGAAGCUCCAGGUGACCCAGGUGAUUUCUGUCAGAAAUUCUUUGCAGUCCCACCCCAGAGCAGGGUCCCACCACCACCCAGGGUGCAGCAGAACCUCCUUUCCCUCUGUGCUGCUGCAGAGUUUCCUUUCAUUAUUUUGCAUUUUAAAGAAGAUAAAGACACCAAAUACCACCAAAGCUACAUGUCUCCAGGAAUAUCUCUAUUUCAGUCUCAGAUGUGAUGGUACCUCAGCACUGGCUGGGAUCCUCUGUUCUCAUCAGCACACACCAUCAGGGCCUGUUUUAGCUCCUGAGUCCUUCUGUAACUGCUGUGGUGGUGCUGCAUUGAUAAAAUAUUCAAAUGUGAAUGACAUGAGCAGGAGCUCUCUGGGAGGAAUAAGGAAUCAUGCUACAAUCAUGAAGAGAUCACAUUUUAAAGCAACCAAAUGCAGGUCCAUGGACGAGGGGAGCUGAAAUUCCUGGGAUUUGUUCCAGUGUCUGCCCAGGUUUAAUUCCAUUAAGCUCAACAAAGCUGCUGUUAAAAUUUCUUGUGUCCUUGUGCUGGUGUGAAUGGCUGUGGGAGUCAGGUCAGGCUGAGAUGGGAACAUGCAGCUCCCAGGAUUUAACUGGGGCCAAACCCACCUGUCCUGAGCCUAAAGCUUCCUCUGUGGUGUGUAACCACUUCAGCACACAGAUUCACCAUCGAGGCCGGCAGGAUUAACAAUAUUCCCCGGGCAGGAACCGAAAGCACAGCAGAGGAAUGGGUGAGAGGAUUUGCUGCCAGCACCCCUGCUUUGUGGCUGGUGGUUUUGGGGAGCUGCUCCAGGUGCACCAGACAGGGACAGAGCUUCUCUUGCAGGUGGAGGAGCUGAGCCUGAAAUCCUGCCAGCCAGGAACUGGAGAGCUCGGCUCUGCUGACACUGCAAGGCUCCUGGACAAGCCCAGAAGGAACUUCAGCACCUGGCUCAGCUCUGGGAGGACUGCAGAGGCAGCUGAAGGAUUUUGGAUGCAGGCACUUUAAGACCUUUCUGUGACAGUAACCCAUGGAACUUGCUGGGUCUGUCUCCUCUGAAGUCCCCAAGAACUUUCCACCAUCACAAGGAAGAUUGAGCUCCAAAUGGAAGACAGAAGGGGUAACUUUUGGUUUCCACUGCAGUGUGAGUUGUGCAGUUUCCCUGGUGGAGGUCUGACACAAUGAGCUCAUCCUAUGCAAUGGCUCCUGUUUUCUUUGGGAUAUUACAGACACCUGUUUGCCCAAAGUGCCACAAAGAUGCCUCAGCAGAACUAGAACUCGAGUCAAGUCUUGAGCUGUUGACUAUUUGCAGGGGCAGAGCUCUGCCUUCCCAGAAUUUCUCUUCUCUGGAGAAGGAAGACAGAAUUUUUAGGUGACUAUAAAUUCCCCUUGCUGUUUUAGAGGUACCUGUCUGUAGACAGCCUGAUCCAGUGGAAUCAUAUGCUGAAGAAUGAACUAACACAAACACCCUCCUGCCUUUCCCCUUCCUUGUGUGUCCCUGCACACAAAUCUCCUAAAUGGUCAUUACUUCUCAAAUUCUGUGCAACUCAUGUUCUGUUUGGCUCAACACCCACCACGUUUCCCACCUAGUAUUGAUUUUGAUGGAGAUGCUGAAAUCAAAUUGCUGCUGCCUUUUUGAGAAGGAUCUUCACAACUUAAGUGCCCAAAACAGCCUUAGGUAGCAGAGGAAUAAAAGAUAAUUACACUGUUUCAUUCAGAAACACGCAGAAUUAUUUUUAUCAAAACACGUGGUAGCACAGCAAAGUUCAUCUUCCCGUGUACUAAUCAAUACACACGAAUUUUUGCCUUGACUUUGAUCAUGCUACCCAAUACAUGAUGUGAGAAUCAAUAUAGCAGGAAAAAGGACUCUGAAUUUGACUUUUCAGCACAGAACGUGGCAGAUGCCUGGGAGAGCUCUGGUCUGUUUCGUGUGAGACUGGAAAAAUCCUAAAACGUGUCCAGCUAAAAAAAAAAAAAAAAAAAAAAAAAAGGUUGGGAGUGUUUAUUCCUCUAGUUCUUCUUUUUGUUUUCAUUAUUUCAAGUGUCAACAUGUCUGGUAUCAGGAGGUGUGAGUGUAAAGUAACAAAGUGGAGAUAAAGUAAGAUGUAAGCAAAUGCCACUCAGAAGGAGUAUUGGGUCAAAGAUCUGAUCUAUGUGAUUUGCAGCUGCUGCACCUGUGGCAUCCAGUAUUGCAAGAUCCCCAGUUUUAUUUGCAUUCUGUUUGAUGCAUCCAGACUUAGAAACACCUGAAAGAUGUGUAUUUUUAUUUAAAAAAACCUGAGAAGGAGCCAUGUAAGCAUUGCUCUCUGGGCAGUGGCUCUGGGAGGUUGAUGUUUAGGGGAGAUGGAGCCCAGCUAUGUUUUUCUAGGUGUGCAUGGCAACCUGCUGAUUGCUGUCUCGCCAGAAUAAACUCUAAACCUUCCCAGCUGUUCUUAAUCUGGCCCCUUAACCUUUAAAAAAGCCAGAGGCUUUCCAUUCCUCAGAGCCAAACUCUGCUAACAAUAUCUAGGUUGUUUUCAAACCAAGCUUCAAACAUAAAAAUGACUAAUAAAUCCAUAUUCCAUAAUCGUUAGGCUGGAAAACUAUUAUUUUAAAACAGACUCAGUUUUUAUGACCCAUUUCUAAUAAAAAUCCCAAGUAUGCUUCACUAAUGCUCCCAUUCCAGAUACUCAGACCCCGGAUGAUAGGCAUGCUAUCCAGAUAGAUACACCAAUAAAUCUGUAAAGGCUGUAAAUCUGUCUCAAAUUAGUGAUCUGUAGAUGUAGGAGGGGGAAGAGGGCUGGGAAAUUCUGUUUUCUGAUCUGCUGGUUUCCUGACAUAAGGCUCUGUCACCUCACAGCUGGUGACUGUACUUUUCUGUGGCUUGGAUUAAGUGCUAAAUACAUUACUCCACACUCUUUGGGGGACCGGGGUUUUGCACAGACUUUUAGUCUGAUUCCACUGGUGUGAAGAGCAAUUUUGGGUCAGAGUCACGACCAGAGGAGGGUGAGAGAGGCGGGUUUUGAGGAAGGGAACAGCAGCUUUGGGAUGGAGCUGCAGCCCAGAGAUCCACAACGCUGGGGGAUUCCCGUUCGGGCUUCCUCCUGAAACAACACAGCCCGCAAGGAUCACAAACUCACAAACAUCCAUCUUCUUGACUCUUUUACUGCCUCCUAAUUGCCCCCACCCUGCCAGGCGGAUUUAUGCCCGGCCUGUCGUGACCGGUGCCAGGGAGGAGA
Long non-coding RNA from Oenanthe melanoleuca, 3243 nucleotides. RefSeq lists it as uncharacterized. The record is from RefSeq and is a predicted model, not a curated record. NCBI's taxonomy places the organism in Eukaryota, Metazoa, Chordata, Aves, Passeriformes, Muscicapidae. The transcript is spliced from 8 exons.